RNAcentral lists this unclassified non-coding RNA (165 nucleotides) under soil metagenome. RNAcentral describes it as "partial internal transcribed spacer 1". The record is from RNAcentral.
GUGAAUUGAAUAUGUUAGCGGACCUCUUCGGAGUCCCUAGCAUCAAAUCAUAUCCAUAACACCUGUGAACUGUAAAGGCUGUCUUGAAACACGAAAGUGAUUAGAGCGCCUGCCCAUUUUAUACAAACAUUAAAGUAACAAACGUAGUCUUAUUAUAAUCUAAUA